RNAcentral lists this unclassified non-coding RNA (249 nucleotides) under Hevea brasiliensis (rubber tree). Lineage: Eukaryota; Viridiplantae; Streptophyta; Magnoliopsida; Malpighiales; Euphorbiaceae. The record is from RNAcentral.
GUGGCAGUGAAUGGCAGUAGCUGCAUUUGUAUGUUGUAUUUUUUAAUGCAUAUGCUUAUGUUUUAAUACACUACCUGAUAGAUAAGUCAUAACAAACACAGAAAAAUGUUCCAAACUGUUUACAGCAUCGCAAGGAAGGGAUUGGAAGUGAAUUUGUUAAUUUUCAUGACAAUUGAUGUUUAAAUUUAUAUUCCACUUACAGAGUGCAAUAUAUAGUAAAUUUUUCUUAUUCUUUAGUAGCCAUCGCUA